RNAcentral lists this ribosomal RNA (1488 nucleotides) under Triticum aestivum (bread wheat). RNAcentral's name for it is "partial small subunit ribosomal RNA". The record is from RNAcentral. Lineage: Eukaryota; Viridiplantae; Streptophyta; Magnoliopsida; Poales; Poaceae.
AUGCCUCUACGCUGUCGAGUGAGAAGUGAGAAAUUUCUGACGCCGGAGCGCCGGCUCGAGCUCCUUGAGCAGAUUCGGGCUAGGCGCGAAGCCCGGGUCGCUGUGGGGCUACCUUCAGAUAUAAUGGAUCCGGAGGAGUUGGAGGAGGACGACGAUGAGUUUGAGGAGGAGGGCGGUGAGCCGGAAGAGGAGGAUGUGGGGGACGCUGGCGAUGUGGAUCUACAGGCGGUGCAUGACGCCAUCCUCGAUUCCCUCCGGUCGGAGUCGGUUGCAGAGGCAAGACCCGUCGCCGACAGAGAUGGAGGCGCAGCAGGCCGCGGGAAGGUGGAGAUGCUCACCUACAUGGAUGAGGUCGAGCAGGAGGAGGAUGAGCCGGAGCCCUCCUCUCGGCCCGUCCAGUCAGCGCCCGGCACCGUUGUCGUGGACAUCUCCGACGAUGAAGACUAGAGCCAGCGGUAUUGGGGAUCCCCGGACCUCGUCGAGGUCGCGGGCUAUGGUGGUUGGAGGUCCAUCGGCACUAGCCGUUUGGAUCCUCAGAGGGGCGAUGGAGGCAGGGAGACGAAGACUUUUCUUCUUCCUUGUUGGUAUGAUUUGUUGCUGUUGUUCUUCUCCUUCCUCUGCGCUGAUGCUGAUAGGAGAUCCUGCUUUGUCCGGGCGGAUGGCCUGACCGCGGUGCUGGACCGGUCGGAUGACUCGAGUUCUCUUCCUUCCGGAAGGGACACUUUUCGCGGGUUCGCCAUGGCCAUGGCCAUGGAGGAAGUAGCACAACAUGGCGGCCUUCCCGAGCUAGGGCCAACCGGAGGAGGACCCGAUCUCAUCAGCGCCCUCCCGGAUGAUCUGCUUCUCCAGGUGCUCGUCCGCACCCGCUGCACCCGCGCCGCCGCGUGCACAAGCCUCCUCUCCCGCCGGUGGAGCCACCUCUGGAGCCGCCUUGCCGAGUUCACCUUCCGCGACGCCACGCCCCGCUUGCUCCGACCGGCGCUCGACUCCCUUGCCCACGUCCCCGACAUGUCCCUCCUCGACAUCCACGUCCCCGAGGCGCCCACGCUUUCUCCUCACUACUAUGUGUUGUAUGUGGCCGACGUCGGCUCGCUGCUCCGCGCCGUCACGGGGCUCUCGCCGGUGGAGCUCCGCUUCAACGUCUCUCGCAGCCCGCUUUCUCGCCGGACACGCGACAUGCGGUUCCUCCCCCCUCCCAUGAACCUGCCCAGCUUCCAUCGGGCCACAUCCAUCGACAUAUGCGGGAUGGACCUCUUCCUCCCCGCCGCCGCCGACCCGCCGGCAAGCUUCUGCAUGUUCCCCGCGCUCGAGGUGCUGUCCUUCUCUGGCUGCCACGUCGCCGCCGCCGCCUUGCUCCUCCAUUGCCCGCGCCUGCGCGUGCUCAGGGCGACCGGCUGUUUCCUCGACCAUGCCAUCCGCUCGGCAUCCCCGCGGGAGCUCCUUCUGGAGAACAAACGGAAGUCGACAGUCGGGUGGUUCCAGGUCUAG